RNAcentral lists this ribosomal RNA (850 nucleotides) under uncultured bacterium. RNAcentral describes it as "bacterial SSU rRNA". It matches the Rfam family "Bacterial small subunit ribosomal RNA", at positions 31 to 882 of the family's 1533-position model. The record is from RNAcentral.
GGGCAGUGCGGCGGGCUUACACUGCAAGUCGAACGGAGUUCCUUGGGAAGAGAUUUCGGUCAAUGGAAGAGGACCCUUAGUGGCGGACGGGUGAGUAACGCGUGAGGAACCUGCCUCUCAGAGGGGGACAACAGUUGGAAACGACUGCUAAUACCGCAUAAUAUAUCUGUAUCGCAUGGUAUGGAUAUCAAAGAUUUAUCGCUGAGAGAUGGCCUCGCGUCUGAUUAGCUAGUUGGUAGGGUAACGGCCUACCAAGGCGACGAUCAGUAGCCGGACUGAGAGGUUGGCCGGCCACAUUGGGACUGAGAUACGGCCCAGACUCCUACGGGAGGCAGCAGUGGGGAAUAUUGGGCAAUGGGCGCAAGCCUGACCCAGCAACGCCGCGUGAAGGAAGAAGGCUUUCGGGUUGUAAACUUCUUUUAAGAGGGAAGAGCAGAAGACGGUACCUCUUGAAUAAGCCACGGCUAACUACGUGCCAGCAGCCGCGGUAAUACGUAGGUGGCAAGCGUUGUCCGGAUUUACUGGGUGUAAAGGGCGUGCAGCCGGGAGUGCAAGUCAGAUGUGAAAUCCCGCGGCUCAACCGCGGAACUGCAUUUGAAACUGUGCUUCUUGAGUGCUGGAGAGGCAGACGGAAUUCCUAGUGUAGCGGUGAAAUGCGUAGAUAUUAGGAGGAACACCAGUGGCGAAGGCGGUCUGCUGGACAGUAACUGACGGUGAGGCGCGAAAGCGUGGGGAGCAAACAGGAUUAGAUACCCUGGUAGUCCACGCUGUAAACGAUGGAUACUAGGUGUGCGGGGACUGACCCCCUGCGUGCCGCAGUUAACACAAUAAGUAUCCCACCUGGGGAGUA